UCACUUAACUGGCAGGGGAGAUACCAUGAUCAUGAAGGUGGUUCAUCUAUGGCGAGGCUCAGCCAUUGCACUUCGGUUGUAAGGAUCUGCAAGUGAAUUCCCCAAACAACCUCUGACUGCACAAUUUGUGGUAGUGGGGAUCAGCGCCCGCGCUCCCCUGAU
This is a small nuclear RNA of Hippoglossus stenolepis (Pacific halibut), 162 nucleotides long. RefSeq annotates it as U1 spliceosomal RNA. The transcript has a single exon. The record is from RefSeq and is a predicted model, not a curated record. Lineage: Eukaryota; Metazoa; Chordata; Actinopteri; Pleuronectiformes; Pleuronectidae.